AUGAACGCUGGCGGCGUGCCUAAUACCUGCAAGUCGAGCGAACAGACGAGGAGCUUGCUCCUCUGACGUUAGCGGCGGACGGGUGAGUAACACGUGGAUAACCUACCUAUAAGACUGGGAUAGCUUCGGGAAACCGGAGCUAAUACCGGAUAAUAUAUUGAACCGCAUGGUUCAAUAGUGAAAGACGGUUUUGCUGUCACUUAUAGAUGGAUCCGCGCCGCAUUAGCUAGUUGGUAAGGUAACGGCUUACCAAGGCAACGAUGCGUAGCCGACCUGAGAGGGUGAUCGGCCACACUGGAACUGAGACACGGUCCAGACUCCUACGGGAGGCAGCAGUAGGGAAUCUUCCGCAAUGGGCGAAAGCCUGACGGAGCAACGCCGCGUGAGUGAUGAAGGUCUUCGGAUCGUAAAACUCUGUUAUUAGGGAAGAACAAAUGUGUAAGUAACUAUGCACGUCUUGACGGUACCUAAUCAGAAAGCCACGGCUAACUACGUG
Molecule: ribosomal RNA, 496 nt
Filed under: uncultured bacterium
Lineage: Bacteria
Description: partial 16S ribosomal RNA
Rfam family: Bacterial small subunit ribosomal RNA
Source: RNAcentral